GUAGGGAAUAUUGGUCAAUGGACGAAAGUCUGAACCAGCCAUUCCGCGUGCAGGAAGAAGAUUCUAUGGAUUGUAAACUGCCUUUAGCAGAGAAGAAACGCCUUCAUUGAUGAGGGUUUGACGGUAUCUGCGGAAUAAGCACCGGCUAACUCCGUGCCAGCAGCCGCGGUAAUACGGGGGGUGCAAGCGUUAUCCGGAAUCACUGGGUUUACAGGGUGCGUAGGCGGGAAAUUAAGUCAGUGGUGAAAGUCUGUUGCUUAACGAUAGAAUUGCCGUUGAUACUGAGUUUCUUGAAUUGGGUUGAGGUUAGCGGAAUGUGACAUGUAGCGGUGAAAUGUAUAGAUAUGUCAUGGAACACCAAUUGCGAAGGCAGCUAGCUGGGCCUUGAUUGACGCUGAGGCACGAAAGCGUGGGUAGCGAACAGGAUUGGAAACCCGGGUAGUCC
This 445-nucleotide ribosomal RNA is filed under the name uncultured bacterium. RNAcentral describes it as "partial 16S ribosomal RNA". It matches the Rfam family "Bacterial small subunit ribosomal RNA", at positions 354 to 796 of the family's 1533-position model. The record is from RNAcentral.